This 484-nucleotide ribosomal RNA is filed under the name uncultured bacterium. Its description in RNAcentral is "partial 16S ribosomal RNA". It matches the Rfam family "Bacterial small subunit ribosomal RNA", at positions 28 to 507 of the family's 1533-position model. The record is from RNAcentral.
AUUGAACGCUGGCGGCAUGCUUUACACAUGCAAGUCGAACGGCAGCGCGGGCUUCGGCCUGGCGGCGAGUGGCGAACGGGUGAGUAAUGCAUCGGAACGUGCCCAGUAGUGGGGGAUAGCCCGGCGAACGCCGGAUUAAUACCGCAUACGACCUGAGGGUGAAAGCGGGGGACCGAAAGGCCUCGCGCUAUUGGAGCGGCCGAUGUCGGAUUAGCUAGUUGGUGGGGUAAAGGCUUACCAAGGCGGCGAUCCGUAGCUGGUCUGAGAGGACGACCAGCCACACUGGGACUGAGACACGGCCCAGACUCCUACGGGAGGCAGCAGUGGGGAAUUUUGGACAAUGGGGGCAACCCUGAUCCAGCCAUGCCGCGUGCGGGAAGAAGGCCUUCGGGUUGUAAACCGCUUUUGUUCGGGAAGAAAUCCUCUGGGCUAAUACCCCGGGGGGAUGACGGUACCGGAAGAAUAAGCACCGGCUAACUACGUG